AGUAAUCAACCUAAACAAACUCAUACGACUCUAUAAGCAUGCAAACGCUCAAUUGAGUUCAAAUGAACAAAUUCACGCUUAACAAUCCCUCAGUUCCAUACAGUCCAUCACAAGUUAGCAGUUAAGUUGAUUUACCACAAAUAAACUACACAAUGAACUCAUCCAAAUGAAAUCCUAAAGUUAAUUGUAAUGCAAGUGACUAAAAAAAACAGUAACAGUUUCAAUGAAGAUCAGGCAACAACUGCAUUUCCAUUUCAUGGAGGAGUUACAUCAAAUCAGUUCCAAGUGUAUACCUAGGUUUGAAUGGACAGAAUAACAAAAGGAGUCAGCAGCAAGUGAUAUCACAAGCAACAACAACAGGCAGAAAUCACCAACUAAUUCAAUCAACAGAGGGAGAGUUUGAACCAACAUGGACUAAGAGAUCAAUCGUACCACUUGAUUACCACUCAAACAAACUCGAAAUUGGACUCAAAACAUUUGAAACCUCAGCAGAGCAAACCUCAACCAAAACCCAACUUAAUUUGACUCAAAAUCACUUGAAGUGAACUUCUAAACUUUAGCAACUCACAGAUUCAACUCGAAAGUAAACAAUUCUUGAAGAAUAAUUAUCAGAACUCACGAUACUCGAUGUAACAAUGUAUUUUGGUAUUUUCUGAAGAGGUUUUGUUGUUUUUUUUGUUUUUCUAUGGAAAACUUAAAACUCAAAAAGAGAAUUUCUAAUUCUAGAUCUCAUUUUGAAUUUGAAACUAAGGAGAGUUUUUUUUGGGGGGGGGGGGGAAUUUUUUAGCUCCCAACCUUGUGUGCCUUGCCCUUUUAUAGGCAAAGAUGAGGGCAGCCCCCCAAUUUUCUGUUUUAAUUUUCAGUCCCUAGUUUAUUUUAGUUAGUCCCUUACUUAUUGACUUUUUACACAAGUAAGCCUACUAACUCCCCUGAAAUUACAACUAAAUGCCUAUUCUAGAAGGUUCUAAUAUUAGCCACAACAUUCUAUUAUUUUAUCAACUACCCAAAACACCCCUGAAAACCCCUGCAAUUACUAACUAUUAAUAAAAUCUAUCAGCUAUAACCAAACAACUAAUCUAAGCCUAAUGACCAAAUGAAUUAACCCAUGACAUUUACUGAUUAAACCCACACCAGACUGAAUUAAAACAAACCAAAAACUAAGUAAUCACAUACUAACAAAAAUAAGGAUCAAACAAUACCUAAACAGAAUCAAUUAACAAAAAACAAUACCAAAUACACGCUCAUGCAAGAUUAAUGAUCAAAUUGACAAGAUGAGGAAAGCAAAUUUCAGAAUACUAUACAUGAAAAAAUCUAAACAGAACUUGAAAAACAUGUAAGCUAAUUAUUAUUUUGUAUUAAAAGAAAAGAUAAUCAGAUAACAGAAAAAUGCCUAUAUUGAAAUCAAAAAACAAUCAAAUCCUAAAUUGAUUAAUCGAGAAGAGAUAUCAAAUAAAAAGAAAAUAUUGGAGAGAAAAACCAGAAAACACUAUCCGAGGAGCCUAGACCGGACACUGGAAACUCGAUUCGAGCCUCGGAAUAAUACAAUCAUUUGUUCUUUGCCAAAACAAAUGAAAAUGUUAUUUCAGAACUCGAAUCCAAUACUGGACGCAAGAGUUUGGCCAAACUUGAACCCAAUUGAAUUUUAGGGUUCAGCUCGUCCUAAGAUUUGAAACUCGAGCAGAUAUAAGGAGAUUCGCGGAAACCUGGUUGGAGAUUAGGGAUGAGCGAGUUGAGGCAGCUUUGGGGUGUUAUUUUGGGGCAUUUUGGUGGUGGCUCCGCCGUGGGCGAUGGUGGCGGUGCCUAGGGUUUGGAGGAUUUGGGGUGUUUGAUUAGGAUUUGGAAGAAAAUAAUGACUGAUAUGGGAUGAGGAGAUGAAGAUGAUGACAUGGUGAAAUAUUGGAGCAUCGUCGUCGGCGAUGGCGGACGAUGGAGGCGAUGAUCUGGACAGUUGGAUGAGAAGGGAUUAACGGUCCAGAUACGAUUUGGCUAAACGGGAUCGUUUGGUGGGUGGGCGGACUGGAUGUGUAAAAAAACUUGGGACUGGGCGGGUAUUUCUUGUUUGGGCUAAGACACAUGAGCCCAAAUCAGAUCUUUUCUUCUUUAUUUUCUCUUUUUCUUUGUCAUUUUUAGUUUCUUUUUUUCUCUUUUUCUUAUUUAGUAUUGUACUUCAAUUUGUAUUUUGUAUUUUUUUGAUUCAUAAAAAAUGCAAAAUUAAAAUAAAAACCAUUUUAUUGUCAACACUAAGCUAACUGAUUUCUAAAAAUUGAUUAAGUCCUAUUUAAAGUAAAUUUAUCACAAAUAUAACAAUUAGAAAUUAAAAUGCAAAACUAGACUAUUUUGUUAUUUUCAUUGUAUUUUGUUCAAAAAAUAACUUAAUCCCUAAUUAAUCCUAAAAUAUUAAAUUAAAUCCUAAAAGCAAAUGCCAAAUGUAUUUUUUAUUUUUUCCCAUAUGAGUUAAAAUGCACGAAUAAAAAUACAAACAAUUCACAGAAAAUAACACAAAAUUCACAAAAUUGCCAAAUGAUGAAAGAAAUUAUUUUGCUUGAAUUUUUGGGAAUAAUUCAUAUAUAGGGAAAAAAUCAUGUGCUCACAGGCUGUGAUGUAUUUUUAAUUGUUUUCUUUCUUUCUUUUGAUUCUGUAAUAAUCUUGUAAAAAAAAGAACUCGGGGAGUAUUAGUAAAGGGUAUGAGAGGAGUUUACUUAUUGCACAAAAGGGUAGAUACCAUUUCUAUAGGUUUAAUGUUUUAAUAACCUAGAUACCUUGCCUACAGGUUUUCAACAUUUUUAACUCGAUCUUCUAGAAACCAUGCCUAUAAGAUUUAAUAUUCAGUCAUAUUGCAAAUCAUUAGAAAUCCUGCCUAUUGGACUUACUAUCCAUGUAACAAGUUGCGUAUAGAAAUCAUGUCUAUAGAAAAUGCAUAAACGUUAGGAAAAUGGUAGGGUAAUCGAAUACUCAUUCCUUUACUAGUUCAAUAACAGUAACAAGUCUUAAAAAAUCAAGAUAUAGAUAUCAUGCCUAUAGGAGUUCAAACUCGCCUAGUCUGUGCAAGUAAUAAUCUGGCCGUUGGCCUCAACGUUAUCAAUAAAACUCAUCCAAACGCGUUUGUUUGAAAACUCUUAUAAAUCCGUAGUGUUCUUAAAUUUUCCAAACUUGCAUCUUUAUUUUGAAACUGUGAUGACCUGGCCCGUCGUCACGUGAGUUACCGCCCCGUUUUCCCCGUUUUAUGCUUUUAUAUAUUUCAUUAUAUGUGUUUGUAGAGUUUGAAGUGAUUCGGACAGAGUUUAGUUGGAAUUAAGACAAUUAGUCUUUUUAAGGGAAGGCUAGUUUGGAAAAGUCAACCGGAUGUUGACUUAUGAGUUAUAUGGCUCGGAAUGGAUUUCCGACAAUUCGUCUAGUUUCAGGUGACGAUUUAUGACUUGGGAGUGAAAACAGAACUCAAUUUGGUCCGGUGUAGAAUUAGGCUUGAAUUGGCUAGAAUUUUGGCGAACUCUGGUUGAUAGGUGAGAUUUUGAUCCGGGGGUCAGAAUGGAAUUCCGAGAGUUGCCGUAGCUUAGCUUCGUUAGGUGAUUUUGGAUAUGUCUACAAAUUUUCAGGACAUUCAGACGUCGUUUGGUCGGGUUUUUGAUCGAAUAUUAGUUUCAGAAGUUAUAGUUGAAACUUAGGCUUGAAUCCAUUAUGAUUUGAUGAUUUUUGUGUUUAGGGGACAUGUUUUUAUGAUUGGAACAAGUUCGUAUGAUGUUUUGGAGCAGGUUGGUAUUUUUGGUUGGGGUCCCGGGGGCCUCGGGGUAAUUUUGGGGGUUCAAACGGAUCAUUUUUGGAUGGCUAGGAGAUCAUAUUUGCUGCCAUAAAUGUUGCAGAUUUUUGUUCAAUGCGACCGCAGGAGUACUGUUGUGAUCGCAUAGAAAGUUUGGGGAGGUUUUGAAAAUUUUCAUUGCGAUCGCGGUCAGGGGUAUGCGAUCGCACAGGUGGUGGAAGUUGUUUUCUACGAUCGGAGGAAAUCAUAUGCGAUCGCGUAGUGUAAUGGACCUAGGUUCCUGGGGGGGGGGCAUUUGGGCAGUGCGAUCGCAGGGUCAAUUAUGCGAUCGCGUAGUGUUGGAUUCUGAAGCAAUGUGAUCCCGUAGUAGGGGUUGCGAUCGCAUAUGCCAUUUUUUUAGGCCUGGAAAAGUUGUUCAAUGUGAUCGCAUAGAGGAAAUGUCUGGGCGGACAGAAGGAUUUUAUAACAUAACAUCCGCGAGCAAAUAUCAUUUUCCACCAUUUUUGGGCAUAUUUUGGAGCUAUUGGAUGGGGAAGUAAGAGGAGUUCAGCUAGGUUUCAACUUGAGGUAAGUUUUAUGAGCUAAUUACAUGAUUUUAUUGAAGAAUCAUCAUCUAAAUCUCUGAAAAUUGGGUGGAAUUGGUGAAUUUAGGGCUUGAUUUUGGUAUUGAAAAUUUAGAAUUUGAAGGGGCUAUUGGACUCUGAUUUUGAUAAACUUCAUAUAUAUAGACUCGUGGUGAGAUGAGGAUACAAAAAUGUUAACUUCGUAAUUUUUUGAGAAGUGGGCCCGGGGCUCAUGUUUUGCCAACUUGGAAAUUGGAGAAUUUAGGGCUUGGUUUUUUGUAUUGAAAAUUUGGAAUUUUGAAGGGGCUAUUGGACUCCGAUUUUGGUAAACUUCAUAUGUAUUGACUCGUAGUGAGAGGAGAAUUCCGAAAAUGUGAAUUUUGUAAUUUUUCGAGAAGUGGUCCCGGGGCUCGGGUUUUGCCAACUUCGUGUUUUUGGGUAUUUUUCGAGUUCUUUCUAUUGGGUNNNNNNNNNNNNNNNNNNNNNNNNNNNNNNNNNNNNNNNNNNNNNNNNNNNNNNNNNNNNNNNNNNNNNNNNNNNNNNNNNNNNNNNNNNNNNNNNNNNNNNNNNNNNNNNNNNNNNNNNNNNNNUGCGAGGAAAGCGCAAGGCGAGCUAGGAUUUUGGUCGGUUUGAGGUGAGUAAUGGUUAUGAAUGAUAUACUGAGGGUUUGAAACCCCGUAUUUACACUAUACGGUGCUAUGUUGAGAUGUGACACGCGUCUUCUGAUGAGCGUGGUGAUGUAUCUGCUGGGGACUCGGACUUGGUCCAUCCCGAUUGAUGACUUACUGUACUUCUUGACUGAGAGUGAGCUUGUACUCGUAUAAUUUGGGCUAGUUACCAUGUUUGGGCCUUGUGCCGAUCUGUAGAACUCCUAGGGAGCAUGUUGAGUUGAUUGACCUCACUUUUCCAAUUGGACACAUACCAUCUGUCCCGACUUUUGACUGCAAAUCAUGAAAUAAACCGGACUUUACAGCUUGCACCCUAAAUAAGCAAUAUCUAGGGUUGAAUACCCUGUCUUAGCUGAGUGGGCCCGAGAGGCUAAGUCUAUAUUGGCUGAGAUGGGUCAAGGACCCCGUGGUGAGGCUAUUUGAUAUAUAUAUACACACAUCGGGUGGGGCUGCACGCGACAACAAUAUAUACAUAUACAUGUAUUGGAUCGGACUGCACGCCGCAUUGGUAUAUUAUAUGGAUCGGACUGCACGCCGUAGUGAUAUAUUAUAUGGAUCAGAUUGCACGGCGCAAUGAUAUAUGGAUCAGACUGCACGCCACAGUUUUAUAGCACUUGGACUGAAGGAUCCCCUACGGAGUCUGUACACACCCCCAUUGAGCGCAGUCGACUAUAUUUAUUGGAUCGGGCUGCGCGCUGCAGCAUUUUAUAUAUUAUAUUGGAUCGGAUUGAAAGCCACAACUAUAUAUAUAUAUAUAUAUACAUAUAUAUAUUAUGUUUGUAGCUGGUUGGACGGAAAGGAAAGUAAUUAUCAGAUUCUUUUCCCUGUUUGGUACUUAUCUACUGUCUUUACUACUGAAAAUAGGAUUGUAUAGUAUUUUUACCGGAUUUCUUACAUUCAAUUGUUAUUUAUUGCUAUUACUCACUGAGUUGGAAGUACUCACUCUACUCCCUGUACCUUGUGUGCAGAUACAGGGAUCCCAGAGGCAUAGUUGUGGCUGUCGGUUGUUCCUCAGCUCAGUAUCGAAGUUAUCAAAGUAGUUGCUGGCGUCUGCAGGACCUGAUCUCUCCUCUUAUGUAUCUUGUUUCCGUAGCUAGACUUUCUUUGUUUGGAGUACUAUUCAGCUGUAUUAGAGGCUCAGACUUGUGACACCUGUUCCUUUUGGGAUGUUGUUAUUUUCACUUUACGGAUUCCGCAAUAUUUUAUCAAUAUUAAAUCAAGAAUUUAUACUUGAGUAUUUAAAUAAAUGAUUUGGUUGGAAAAGGUUUUAAUGGUCGGGCUUGCCUAACAAGGUGUAGGGCGCCAUCACGACCGGGGUUUGGGUCGUGACAGAAACCGAUGCUUUAACCUUCUGCCUAAAUUUAUAUUCAUAUCUUGAAGCUAUCUUUCAAAACAUGGUUUUAACUCACUCUUUCUUUUAAAGCACUCUCACUUUCGAAAACUCUUCUUUACAAUUCUACUAUAUUUUCACUUAAACAAUUUUGCUAAUUACAAAGACCUCUAUGAACUUCUGCAAUUCUCAAUCUUCUAUUUUAAACUCUUAUGCAUUGAGCUUUUGUCUGAAAUUAGUGCUUUCUGAAUAACCUGUCUAAAAUACCCCAACGUCUGACAAUUGGAUCCGGGUUGCGUAAUGCAGACUUUUUAUCUAACUCUAUGUGUUAAACUAGUCCGUCCGCCGUUAAAUUUAAUUUAAAAACCAAAUCGGUAUGUGCAAGGCAUGCUAAGCUAUGUGUUGUCUGAUUUAAGGGGUUUUAUGUGAGCCUUACGUGUUUUCUUGUUAACCCACUUUACUUGCUAUUUUUUUUGUUUGUCGAAAUUAGCGUUACCCCUUUUCUUUCCCUUUAGGAUUAGAAUUCCUAAUACCCCGGGACUGAUAGGUUGGGACGGGUAAUAGCAUGCAAUAAGUAACAAGACUAAUCACGUUUAAAUACCUUAACAUAGUGGGGAGGGUAGAAUAUGGAGAUGAUGAUCGGUGCGUUAAUAUCACGUGAAACCCCUCUCUCGAGGAGUGUGUGCCGGGUAUUGCAUUGAUGUGAUCCAUAUCGUUUUUAAACCUAGGAUCUCUAUUUUCUUUUUGUAAUGUUUUCCUUAAGUGUUUUCACUUCUUCGCAUCAACUCCUUCUCUAAAGACUGUAUAUUAUUCCUUUUCUUUUCAAAGUUUCAAAUGUAUGUGUAAACCUUACUUUCUUCUACUCCUUUAAAGUCACAAUUAAGCAUGGCCGAGAACCACACUAGUGGAUCUUGAUGGUUGCCUAACACCUUCCCCUCGAGAUAUUCUCAAGCCCUUACCCGAACUUUGGUUUUCUUUCAAAUCUUCUUCUUUUCUUUAAAGUAUCCUAAUGCACUAUAAUCAUUAGGUGGAGACUCUUCAAUUCCAUAACCCGAUUCCUCAAAAAGGAAUAAAAGUUGUUUUGUCCGUAAUACCGUAAACCCGAUUCUCUUUCUUUAGAGAGGAAAAGGGGGCGUCGACAACAUGACGACUCUGCUGGGAAGUUCUUUAAGGCUUUUAUCAUUACAUGCUUUUGUGACUUUAUUGCUUUCUUCAUAGCCUUUAUUUCCUUCCUUUAAUUAUUUCAUUAUGAUUACUAACUUGGCUCUUCAUAUUUCCUUUUUCUUUUAAUUUCUUUCUUUACUGCCUUAUUAUUAUACCGUUGUGAUUUUCGAGCAUUUAUUGUAAUAUUUUACUUCAUGGACAUGAAAAUACAUGCUAUCUGCUUCAUUCUUGUAACUACAUUCUUCAACAUCAUAUUCCGCUCGUGCCAACAUAAAUCCUAUAGCAACACUUAUAAUGAGUGGUUGCGCCCUUUUGAUAUUAUAACCCCCUAAAUGUGGCAAAGACAUAUUUGUGGUAAAACCAGUCAAUCAAAAGUGUAGCCGAAUGUUUCGCGCGUUUCCCUCUUGAGUUGUCUGGUCAAGGGUACCUUUUCUAGAACUUCAAAAGUAGAAACAUUAUUCCGUUAAACUGUUUAUGCAUCAUGGUCAAACUUAGCCAAGUCAAUUAUGCUGUCCGCAUAAUGACUUAUUAAGGUAGCCUUAUCCAAAGUCCAUCGGGUUUCCUUGAAACCCAAACGCACACCUUCUGUGUGCAUUUAUUUGGAGAAUUAAAUGCCUUUAUUGCUAAUUAUUGAUUUAAAUAGUCGAGUCCGGUGGGGUUAAGGGCAUAACACUUUGUUUUGCAGAAAAAGAGGCACGAAAUCCCCAGAUUCGGUAUAGUAACCAACAUUCACCCAAGGCUGCUAGCUGGUGGAAGGACCUUCAUACCAGUGAUGGGACCCUCGUCUGCAAAUACUUAGGAAAUCUUCCUUCACUCAUGGAAGUCCGGCCUAAAAACAAAAUUAUUGAAGCUGCUACUUUAUUCUGGGAUAGUGAUCGGUUGGUUUUUUGCUUCGGGGACCUCAAAAUGACCCCUCUACUUGAAGAAAUAGGGUAGGGGUUUCCUCAAAAUGAUGAGACUCAAGAAGAAUCCGGAUCUGACUUGUCUAAAGGAUUCCUACAUACCGUUUGAUUUCCUAUAUGAUAGGUUUGGCCAUAGCAAGUCCUAUCGCACCUAUACUGAUUAGUUCGGCCUCAUAUCUUUAGGGCAUAUACAUAGAAGGGUCUUUUUGUUCAUGUUCUCUUUCCUGGGUAUGAUGGUCUUUCCUAUGCAGAAGGCUAGGAUCCAUACCAGACUGGCUAUGGUGACCAAGACCUUAAUGGAAGGGAUCGACGUGCAGUCUUUCAGCAUAGUGCCCAUGAUCAUCACUUAAAUUUAUCGAGCCUUGGGAAAAUGUCAACAAGGGGCCCCGCACUUCGAGGGAUGCAACUUGCUACUCCAGCUUUGGCUUAUAGAACACCUUCAGAAAGGCGACUACCGACAGAAAAUCAUACACAGGGAUUGGGAUGACCAUAUCGCUUUUCACCACCCAAAGCGAAUGAACUUCAUGCCUAAUAUGUUUGCUCAGCCAGAGGACGCUAGAGGGUGGGUAGAACUGUUCGAGAAUCUAAAGGAAGAACAUGUAUAGUGGAUGUAUGAGUGGUUCCCAACCAGGGAAUUCAUUGAUCGGUCUCGGGAUGAACCGUUCCUUAUACUCAUUGGCAUAAGAGGAACUUACCUUUAUGUCCUCUUAUGUCCCUCUCCGGGCUAUGAGGCAAGAAGGGAGGAAACAAAUCAUACCAAGGGCACACAAAAUGAGUCAUUUUAGGGCUGACUUUCAAGACGAUGAUAGCCCACACAUGUGUCACGCUCAACAUAUAUGGCAUUGCAAACUCGUCUUGGGAAGAUAGUCUAUCAAAGCAGACAUGUAUCAUGUAGGGUGUGUGCCGUAUUAUUCAGGUUGGUUAGAAGAUGAUCACAUUGGUUUGGGUCAAUCCAGGGCUCGUCCAAGGUCAUAGGCUUAUUAAUGAGAAAACUAAAGCAAAAGUUAAAUACAAUCGCAAGAGGAUGCGAGAGUGUGAAAAUGAGCACCGGGAGAUACAAGAAGCUCAUCAUAAGCUGAUCAACAAGUUGAAGAAUAUGGCUAUCAAUGCCAACAAUCGGCUAGGGUAUCUGGAAUGAGGUUUAGUGGAGUUGGAAGGAAAAUUAUUGAAGAGGAUUGAAGACUGCUAGAAUACCGAGGGAAGUGCAGGCGGGCAUCUGGCCCAAGCCUAUCUGCUACUAGGACUUCGUGAGUUGAUACAGCUGUACGAAUGAGGCAAGAAUACCGAAUCUGGAGAAGGUCCUUCUGGGACCAAGUAGUUAGGAUUUUUUAUUUCCUGCUUUCAUAAUGUAAUAAGCCCACUAGCCAUUAGUGACAUCUUUAUUUCUGUUAUUUCAAAUUGCAUUUUUUAGACUCGUCUUAUUUUUAUCAAUAAAAUGAGGCAUUUAGCAUUAUAAGUUCUCCAAAUUUAAUUUGUUGCUAGGCCUACCUCGGGCACAACGAGGCACCCAAUUAGGAAGCGACUUAUAUUCCUGCACAACGUGUUUAAAUAUCGCAAUAUUCUUUUUUUUAGAAUCCGCACUAACUUUUUACCUUUUUGUUUUUCUUUAUUCCCUUUCCCAAAAGUUAGUUCGUGCAUUGUGGUACCAUUAGCAUACUCAACAAGAUCCAAGGGCCCUCCACCACCUCCUCAUCCGAGUCAUACCAGAAACAGGAACAAAGGCAAAAUGGGAGAUGCAAAUGCUAGAAAGGAAAUUGAAGAAACUUCUCAAAACACUCCAAUUACCAAGAAAACUGAUGCUCAUCUAGAGUAGACUUUGCUGAGAUUUCGGGAAGAAUUAGAAGAGGUCCGGAACCUAGCAAGCCUAUCAAUCACUCUUGCCACUACUGAUGCCAACACCCAGAACCCCGUACCUCCACAGCCACCAAUACAAACUGCUAAUACUUAAGCCUGCAACACAUGCAACAACACUCCACUGCUCAUUCCGGAACCACAACAAACCACAAAUGACCAUAACACUCCUAUCCUUGUGAACACUAUACCCCACUAUAUCCAGCCAAUAGCAGGUGCAUCAGACUCAGAUGACAAGGACUCCCUCAUUCAAAAUUUGGCCGCUGAACUCAAGAAGUUAACCAGCUGGGUCCAAGGUUUCGAAGGUAGCAAAGGAGUUGAGAGUCUGAACUAUGAAGAUCUUUGUGUUCAGCCAGAUGUUGAACUCCCAGAGGGUUAAAAACCUCACAAGUUCGAGAUGUUCCAUGGUCCAGUUGAUCCAGGGUCCAUCUGAGAAUGUAUUGUGAUAAGCUGGUAGGAGUUGGGAGGGACAAGAAUAUACGCAUGAAGUUUUUCAUGAGGAGUCUAAAAGGCGAUGCCUUAUCUUGGUAUAUCAGCCAAGAUGCAAAGAAAUGGACAAAUUGGGUGAGCAUAGCAUCUGACUUCAUGGACCGUUUCAGGUUCAACACUGAGAAUGCACCGGAUGUGUUCUAUAUCCAGAAUCUAAAUAAGAAACUCAUAGAAACCUUUUGCGAGUAUGCUAUUCGUUGGAGGUCAGAAGUUGCUAAGGUCAGGCCGGCCUUAGAGGAAGAGCAAAUGAAUAGGUUCUUUGUCCGAGCUCAGGACCUCAAUACUACGAGAGGCUAAUGCUGAUAGAAGGUCAGAGGUUUUCCAACAUAAUCAAGUUGGGAGAAAGGAUCGAAGAAGAUAUCAAGAAUGGUAUGGUCACCAAUUUCGAAGCAUUACAGAUGUCACACCCCUUUUUUAAACCAAACUCUCACUUAACCCUCUUACAUAAAUAAAAGGAUUUAGUAAAAAGCUUGAAAAGGAUUUUCCAUUUAGAACAUGACAAAAAUUAUAUUCAAAAGAAAAAUAACUCAGAGUCGCCACUGACAUUUGAUUUCGGUGUGUGAGUCACCGUUGUUUUUAUAAAAUAAAAGAUUUUCCAUUUAAAACACUUGAGACUCCAAAUAUCAAUUCUGCACCAGAGAUUAGGGUAAGGGGUUCAGUUGACUCAAGGAGAAGGUGUUAGGCAUUCCCAAGUUCCGUGAAGAUCACAGUUGCGUACUCGAUCUAGUUGGCUUUUAGAAUAUUCAAAUUGAGAUAAAUAUAAACACGAAAAAGCAAAUAAACACACAUGAGGCUCGAGGUUGUCUCCACCUAAUAAAAUAAAAGAAAAGUAAAAAUAAAAAUACUACUCUAUGCUUCUUCAAAGUGUUCCAUCGCUGGCUUUCAAGUACAUGUAUUACGGGGCAUACCCUGGAUAAAAUAUAUACAAAUCCUUGGGGUAUUCCCCGGAUAAAUUCAACUAAGGAAACGACCUCUUGCCUCGAAAUUAAAAAAAAAUCCUAAAACCCCGUGAGUCCCGUCCUACCCUGCCUUGAACUAGAACUCGGAAACUAGGACAGAUAACUAUAAGAGAGUAGCUGCCAAAACAAGCUCCCUAAGGUCGCACCUAAGAUCCGAAGGAAUCGCUUGAGAACUAACUGCAUACCUGAAGUUAGCUUGUAUUUGCCUACUCAAGUGUGGUCGGUCUAAGCAUAUUACUAACGAUCCAAUUGAUUAAAACAACAAUGGAAAAGAAAGGUAUAGCCUAAAUCAAUCUAAAACUCCAACCCUUAUUUUAGAUCCAAUAUUAUAGCCAACGGGAGAACCUAGACCUCAAUUAAUUCUCGUUAGACUUUUAGUUGCUUAAAUCAAUUAAAAACCAACCCGUAUAUCUAGCGACCUAGCACCAUAUUAAUUUUUACAUAGGCUGUAAGGAUUCAUCAUUAAUUAAAAGCCUUUAAAGUAAUUCAAACAACAAAUAAUCUUAUCUUCUACUGAUAUCACGAAGUGUAUUAUGCUAAGCAAAUAAAUUCAAAUAUAUUCAUCACAUUAAAUAGCCAACAACGUGACUACAGUGAAAGACAAGCAGAUAGUGUUAUUAAAUUAAAUCAAAGGAGAAGAGAGAAUGGACCUCAAGGUAAAGCCGAAAUUCUUCUGAAAAUUAGAUCCAAAUCGAAUUGUAUAGUAGACUCAAACAGUUUUUCGGAAGCGAAACAUGAAACCGACGACUAGACUUGAACCAGAAAAUUGAUAGAGACCUCGGAGAAGUGCUCUCAUCGGAGCUUUGACGGGAACCUUAAACAGACCUCGAACCUUGCCGGCGAACUCGAACUCUAUUUGAACCAGAUAACACUAAAAUUGAACUGAGUAGUGGUGAUUAGCGAGUCAAUUUUACGGAAAAGAACAUCAAAGGAAAAAAUAAUUUAUUUUAACAGUAUAUAUUUUUUUUUUGGUGCUGGAAUCCUAGUGUGGAAGAUGAUAUGCGGCGCUCGGUUUUCUCCUCUGUUUCUAUUCUCAAAAAUCUCCAAAGUUUCGAUCCUUGCCUUCAAUUGUAUCAAAAUUCUUGGAGGAUAAGAAAUCAGAAAUCUUGUGGACCCUACGUGUAGUGUGCCGGUGGUGAGAUAAUGAUUGGGAUGGCCAAAUAUUAGAGUGAAUUUUCAAGAAUGAGUACUGUGUAUGCUUUUUCUUAAAAAGAAAAU
RNAcentral lists this long non-coding RNA (12898 nucleotides) under Nicotiana benthamiana. RNAcentral's name for it is "long non-coding RNA (NBEN_LNC019625)". The record is from RNAcentral. Lineage: Eukaryota; Viridiplantae; Streptophyta; Magnoliopsida; Solanales; Solanaceae.